GCGGACAUAGCUCAGUUGGUAGAGCACCACCUUGCCAAGGUGGAUGUCGCGCGUUCGAGUCGCGUUGUCCGCUCCA
This 76-nucleotide transfer RNA is filed under the name Streptomyces vinaceus. RNAcentral describes it as "tRNA-Gly". It matches the Rfam family "tRNA". From Rfam's summary of the family: Transfer RNA (tRNA) molecules are approximately 80 nucleotides in length. RNAcentral also lists the same sequence under 72 other names. The record is from RNAcentral. Lineage: Bacteria; Bacillati; Actinomycetota; Actinomycetes; Kitasatosporales; Streptomycetaceae.